CAGUUCAUUUGCCGUUGGGAGACCUAAGUGUGAACAUGGAUUCUAUCAGCGAACAAGAACACCAAGAUGAAAUCUUCGUCCGAAACGAUCUCAUCGUAGUUCACUGUGUAGAUACAAGCUACUCAUUUUCUCUUACAGUACCUAGUCUACCUUUCUUAGCAAUCAGUGUCGUAUACUGUCAUUUCAGCUUCGCAAAUUCGCCAUUUGAGAGGCGAAUGCUUUUGAUUCCGGACUGUCCUAAUUUACUUCGCAAGUUGGUAGUUUCUUGGUGUUCGGAGCACAGGACCAAAAUCACAAUGGAACAAAAGCCAAAAACAAAGACCUUAGAACGAGACAAUGAAAUAGAGUACAAAGGCCUUGAGCACCCAAAACAAAGCUCCCGUAACACCAAGGAAUACACCGCAAGUUUGAAUUCGCUGAUUCACUUUGCUCUGUAAAAGUUUUAAAUCAGUUAUUCACUUGAUCUAGACGUUUCUUGUAGAAGAAGUAAGCUUAAAGUAAGCUAAGUUCAAGUUAGAUAUUUAUGCCGUAGUGUAUGAAUCGACUCUUUCUAAAAUGUCCUCUAAGCAAAACAAUGCUGACGAAAUAUAAGACCAAACUGUUAUAUUUGUCUAUUUAUAAGUCUAUCAUAUAGUCUUUGGUUUUGUGGUAAAAUCAGUUUGCUUGUAUUAAAAAAAAACAGUGUGAUCCUGCCGAAGUUGUUGAUGAAGACAGAGAGGUCUUGCUUUUUUGGGACUUCACAAUAAUUGACGAUGCAAACGUCGACGUCUCUGCCCCUCAAAAUCCAAACUAUGAAGAGCUGGAGUUUGCCCCACGACUGAAUUGGGAAACAGUGGAUUGUAACUGCUCUAAAUAUCCAAAUCCUGGUCCUGUUCUUUUGGCUGUCGAUCCCGUGGCUGAGUCAACAGACAAUGGCAACAGCCUAACACUGAUUCAGCUGAGUGUGUUAAUAAUGACGAUGAGUCUUCUGAUAGUGAACAAGAAUAUUUAUUAGAAGACUGGGAAGAUGAGCUGGAUGAAGAGGGUCUAACUCAUACUAUACCCUUUAAAUGUAUUGGAGCUGCUCAUGAAAAAACAAGACAGCCAAACCUGCAACUAGCCAAGGGGAUAAUUCAAAGGGGAGAAAGGGUACAAUGUAGAUUACGGCCCGAGCCUCAAAAUGAGCAAGAGAAAGAUGCUAUUGCUAUAGAUAUAGACUAUGGCUGUGGAUGGAAGCACGUAGGAUAUAUAGCAAGAGAGUUGACGAAGUACAUUCAUCCGCUUAUAAAUGAAAACAAUAUAGUUUCUGUAUCUGUACAACAUAUUAAAUUCCGUGUUUAUUUUCUUAAAA
Nematostella vectensis (starlet sea anemone) is the source of this 1330-nucleotide long non-coding RNA. RefSeq lists it as uncharacterized. The transcript has 2 exons. Lineage: Eukaryota; Metazoa; Cnidaria; Anthozoa; Actiniaria; Edwardsiidae. The record is from RefSeq and is a predicted model, not a curated record.